GAAUUCCUGCGAUGUACGUUGUGAUUUGCUAUUCUCAAACCAACACAUUAACAUUGGGAGCUUAAGUCAUUUAACGAUGUAAUGCCUUUUCGAAAGGACUACAAAAGUAAGUGAGAUAGCACCCCCCUAGUAGCUAGGGCUUUGAGAAUAAAGAUCAUACGGCAUUGUGGGAUUCA
Molecule: non-coding RNA, 176 nt
Filed under: Clostridium sp. 'deep sea'
Lineage: Bacteria; Bacillati; Bacillota; Clostridia; Eubacteriales; Clostridiaceae
Description: 6S RNA
Rfam family: 6S / SsrS RNA
About the family: E. coli 6S RNA was the first non coding RNA to be sequenced, but its function was unknown until recently. It consists of 184 nucleotides that fold into an extended hairpin structure with a large single-stranded internal bulge. The 6S RNA specifically associates with RNA polymerase holoenzyme containing the sigma70 specificity factor.
Source: RNAcentral